CUCGGUUAGAUCCCAAAUCACAAUCACCUCCCCCCACCCCACUUCGCCGAAACAAAAGCAAACCCCACGACGCCUCGCCACUCCGCCGUCGCCGCUUCCAGCAUGCGGCCGUCGGGAUCCUCCCCGUCGUCGUCGUCCUCCCACUCGCCGGACCACCCCAAGACCAAGCCCCCGCCCCCUCCCGCCCCAGCCAUGGGCUACCCCGCCGCCUACUUCGCCGCCGCACCGACUCCCCCCACCAACGGCAACGCCGCGGCCUUCGGCAUCGCGUACCCCUACCCAGCUCCCCCUCACCACCCGCCGCCUCCGCACCACCACCACUACCCGUACCCCCCGCCGCCCACCUGCCUCCGCCGCCUCCUCGCGCUCGUCGUCGGCGCCUUCCUCCUCCUCGGCGCCGCCACCUUCAUCGUCUGGCUCCUCCUCCGCCCGCGCACGCCGGCCUUCUCCCUCACCUCCCUCACCCUCUCCCGCGUCGCCUACUCCCCCGCUAACUCCACCUUCUCUGCCUCCUUCGACGCCGCGCUCCUCGCCGCCAACCCCAACUCCAAGCUCUCCGUCACCUACUUCACCCCGCUCGCGUCCGCCUCCCUCGCCCCCUCCUCCCCUAUCGCAGUCGCGACCCUGCCCCCCUUUUCGCAGGGCCCCCGCAACACCACGACGCUCGCCUUCCGCCUCGUCGCUGAUGAUGCCUACGUGGGGCCUGAUGAUGCGGCCGCGCUCAAGAGCGGGGGCGGGGGGACUGUGGAGGUCGAGGUCAGGCUCAUGGCCGUGGCAGUGUUCGACCGAGGGGGCUGGCGCACACGACGCAGGGUGAUGAGGGUGUUUUGCGAUGGGGUGCCGGUGGUUUUCCGCGGGGAGAACGCCACUGAAGCAGCGUUCAAUGGGCCGGCAAGGUGGUGUGAUGUCGUGUUGUGAAGGAUCCUCAUACCCUGUUUGUUGACUACGGAUGCUGAUCGGAGGGAACUUAUUCCAUAGUAGGUAACCACCUCUAAAAGCAGUGGCGGAGCUUCAUGGAGGUCACCGCUGCUCUCUGGCGCACCCUAUCCUCACAUGCUUUGCUGGUAGCUCCAGGCUCCCCUUUGCUGUGGAUGGUCAUGCUUACAAGUGACAGGAUAGGGGACACGCGGCCGAGGUGGGUAACCAAACUCCGAUGGAUGGAUGGAUGGCCCGGAGAGGUCGAAUUGUGGCAUGGAUGUUCAUGGUUGGUAGGAGGUCUAUUUUGAAGGGGACUGAAGAAGAUGUGGGCACCUUGAUGGGGUCUUCAACAUUAGUUUACAAGAUUUUGGUGUGUCGGAUUGCGACUUUUGUGAAGGAACGAUGAUGAUUGUGAGAGGUUUUCGCUGUCGAAAUGGGUACAGGAAGGAGAUGAGAUGCUAUAGUAGGAUUUGGUGGGGAAUGGCCUGGGGUUGUCCUGCAGGAGAUGAUCUUAUCUCCUGGAUGGGGCCAUAAGGUAGCCAUUGUCUGCACUGGUCCUUUUCGACCUAGAUUUUAAAAAAUGCCCGGAGCCAUGGAUUUGAUUUGGGGUGUUGGUGGUGCUACCACCAGAGUCUGCUGCCUAUGUUUUUGCCUGGCAGUGAGCGGACGUCAAAACCAGUCCGGUUCGUUCUACUUGUACCAUGGGGACAUGCCAGUGCAACCAUCGGUAAGAUUCGGUGAAAUGGGUCAAUGGCGCGUUGUGCUACUCAAAACCAGCUGCUGCUUGAAUCGGUGCAAUUAUCCAAUCAUUCUCUCCGAUCGUUGGGGUUGAAGAGCGACGGCCACAGGGAAGGAAGGAGAGGUCGCGUACAUCUUUCUCUGCACUGGUGCACACAAAAUGUACGUACAAUUUUUCGUCGUGGUCCCAUGACCAGUGGUCGUGUCGACUGUGCCGGCGGCACCGUGGCGUUGUAUUGGGUUGAGACGACGUACACGUACACCGUGCCCAUCUGGCCACGCACGUCAGCGGGCCCAAGUGGACGCAACGCAACGUUCGAGGACGAGCCGCGUCACCUCGUCUCUUCUGCUCUUCAUGCGUACCAAAUGGGCAGAUGCACAUUUCGUCACGUCCAUUAUUUUACUUUC
Phragmites australis (common reed) is the source of this 2064-nucleotide RNA transcript. RefSeq lists it as uncharacterized. The record is from RefSeq and is a predicted model, not a curated record. NCBI's taxonomy places the organism in Eukaryota, Viridiplantae, Streptophyta, Magnoliopsida, Poales, Poaceae. The transcript is spliced from 4 exons.